This 375-nucleotide unclassified non-coding RNA is filed under the name uncultured Rubrobacterales bacterium. Its description in RNAcentral is "contains 16S-23S intergenic spacer region". Lineage: Bacteria; Bacillati; Actinomycetota; Rubrobacteria; Rubrobacterales. The record is from RNAcentral.
UCCGGUUUGUCACCGGCAGUCCCAUUAGAGUGCCCAACUUAAUGCUGGCAACACGCCACGGGGGUUGCGCUCGUUGCGGGACUUAACCCAACAUCUCACGACACGAGCUGACGACAGCCAUGCAGCAUCUGUGGUGCACCCUCGAAGGUCACACGUUUCCGUGCGCUUGCAGCACCAUGUCAAGCCCAGGUAAGGUUCUUCGCGUUGCAUCGAAUUAAAGAACAUGCUCCGCUGCUUGUGCGGGCCCCCGUCUAUUCUUUUGAGUUUUAGCCUUGCGGCCGUACUCCCCAGGCGGAGUGCUUAACGCGUUAGCUACGUUGCCACUGGGGUCAAUACCCAUGACGACUAGCACUCAUCGUUUACGGCGUGGACUAC